CCUGCAGCCCAUGGAGAGGGAAACCCACGCUGGAGCAGGUUUUUCCCAGUUGCAGAGGGGAAUGAGAGUAGUACUGCAGCUACAGUGAGUACCUGGGGUCCAGCCAGGGUCAACCCACUACAUAAGGAAUUUGGCAGUGCUGGGAUUUUUUUCUCAAAUGGUAUAAAACCGAAUUUAAAAUAGGAAAAUAGUUUGCUAAAUUCUCCUCCGCCUAAGUGCAGCAAUUUUCCACAAACACAGCAAACUCUCACGAAGUGCAUGAAAGAAUAAUCAAUACAUUAUGUAGGAAGAAAUAAAGCCUGAAAUUAGAACAGUUUUAUGGCAAAUAAUCCAGUUGAAAUCCCAGGAGUAUUGUUAAUGUAUGGCACUUUGUUUUGCUUUACUUUUCAGUGUGUUUAAAGGUGACUGUUCAGGACAGAGAAUCUGAAGAGAUAAGAGUAUUAUAAAACUGCAAGAAUAGUUGACUUGCAUUACUAUAAACCUCAAAACAAUAAUGCAAUUAAUGACAAAUUGCCAGGAGACGUGUGCAGGAGUUCAAAAGGAGAUGCUCAAGGAAUCCUGGGUGUAGGCAGGCGCAGCAGACCAGGCCGCACAUAAGCAUACACGAUUAAGCCAAGUCUGAAAUCACGCAACAACGUCAAGCAACCUGGGAUGUACUUUCACCUAUGAACUACACCACAACAAGGCAAUCUGGAGAUUAUUCAAACUGGAGAUUAUUCAACUUCGGACCUCAUGACAACGCACACCACAGACAAGGUGACAAGCAUUUCAGCAGACUGACUGCCCCACAACAGGCAGCUUCAGGGAACAACAGAUUCUAGUGUACCCACACCGAAGGGAAGCAGAUGAUCUGGUACCUGGAAAUCAACCAUACAACACUGUACUACUACCAGGCUGCAAAACUAAACCAGUAUUUCAAAAAUCCUUUCAGUUAAAUGCCUUUCAUUAAAAAAAAAAAAAAAAAGACAAGAAUAAACCUUCUAAUCACAAUUCAUGCAUGUUUUGGUCACUAUAGCUCUAGAAACACCAAAAGCAACAUUAUCAAAGACAACAAAUUAAGAUAAACCCCAAAAUUUAGCACAAUAUUCAAGCUUGAAAUAACAGUACAAACAGUCAAAAAACUUUCUCAGGGGACCUGAGUUACAACAUGAGAAAUUUAAUGGUGUAUUAACAGAAUAGUGUGUGUUAACGUAGAAUUAUAAAUAUA
Long non-coding RNA from Lepidothrix coronata (blue-crowned manakin), 1207 nucleotides. RefSeq lists it as uncharacterized. Lineage: Eukaryota; Metazoa; Chordata; Aves; Passeriformes; Pipridae. The record is from RefSeq and is a predicted model, not a curated record. The transcript is spliced from 3 exons.